Molecule: ribosomal RNA, 179 nt
Filed under: Ruellia chartacea
Lineage: Eukaryota; Viridiplantae; Streptophyta; Magnoliopsida; Lamiales; Acanthaceae
Description: 5.8S ribosomal RNA
Rfam family: 5.8S ribosomal RNA (bases 13-168)
About the family: 5.8S ribosomal RNA (5.8S rRNA) is a component of the large subunit of the eukaryotic ribosome. It is transcribed by RNA polymerase I as part of the 45S precursor that also contains 18S and 28S rRNA. Functionally, it is thought that 5.8S rRNA may be involved in ribosome translocation.
Source: RNAcentral
GAAUGUCAAAACGACUCUCGACAACGGAUAUCUCGGCUCUCGCAUCGAUGAAGAACGUAGCGAAAUGCGAUACUUGGUGUGAAUUGCAGAAUCCCGUGAACCAUCGAGUCUUUGAACGCAAGUUGCGCCCGAAGCCUUCGGGCUGAGGGCACGUCUGCCUGGGCGUCACGCAUCGCGUC